AACUGCUCGGCGAAAUGCCUGCCUGUACUGUCGUGUAUGUGUGCGAGUACACCUGAGUAAUAUGGUAGUAGUUGCUGCGUGCUGCGGCCUGGGUGCACUUGUUCCAAGUGCUCUGCUGCUGUGUACAAGUGUAUAUUAUAGUCAUCAGGGCAAAUACCAUUUAGACAAGAUUGAAACUGAAUGGUGCAUGUAGAGUUCGUCUAUUAAAUGUGUGUUUAGUAAUAGUUCAGCCCUGUUUCUCUUGCAUAGUUUCUCUUGCAAUAACCGAGCACUUUUUCCCUCACAUAGUGUUGAGAUAUGUGUCGAAUAUGUGUACGAGUAGGGCUACAGUUGGACUUGGAAUUAGCGGAUGGUUAGGUGUUGGAGUCGAACACGUGUAACCCGGGCCUAAUAUAUAAAGGCACCGCGGGUAGCCCGAAGAGAUCAUGACAACAUAAUAGCAAUAGGCUCGCAGGGGGAGCCGGCGACUUGUGCCGGCACCCAGGGUGGCCGGUGUUGCGAUAUUAUGGGGGGAGGAGCGCCCGUAGUCAUGUCCCGCGGAUGUAGGCUUUGGCCAAACCCCGUUAACAAAUAUCGUGCCUCGAUGUCAUCCUUGAUCGUGCAUCUGCCGGAUUUCGUAACACAUAGUGUUUUAGUAAUAUAAUACCAUGAACAGGCAAAAUGUAUUUGGUUACUGUGUCCACAUUACAUGUGUGCCUCAUGUUUGCUUUGGCCUUCUAACUAAUUUUUUUCCUGAUGGACUGAGGUGUGUAGAAACUGACUCUUAAUCAUAGACAUAAAUGCUAAAACGAUCAAAUAUUAUGGAGUGAAAUUAAAAGUCAUGGCCUGUCCAUUGAAGUUGUAUUGUAUCAUCUUAGAAGAAACAUAGGACUUCGCAUAAUAUUAACAGUUGAGAUGCACGCAUAUUCAUCGAUGGUCUUGAACUCAAUCCAAAUGGUGGUGUUCAGUCUCUUGAUCUAGAUUACAUGUUAUUGACGGGUUUGUCACUAUUGUCAAUAGCCUGUGCUAUGUGUUAAAUUAGUUUCUUCUAUUUAGAUAUCAUGUCAUAGAGGAUCUUGCUCUUUGUUCCAGUUAUGACUCUGAAUUAAAUAAGAUGGAAAUCAAAGUCAAUUUACUGAGGAGAUGGAUAUUAGUGAGCAAGCUGUUCGAACAAACAUUAACAGAUUUUGUCGAAACAUCAUAUUGUAUAUUCUAAUACGGAUGGUUGCAUUAUAUUCUUCCAUAUUUCUUGUGCCAAGUUGCCUGCCUUCCGCUGAGAUAUAUUCUUGAAAUAUCACAGAAAUAUGUUACGGGACAACCUUGAACUUUUGUUCCGACAGUCUUGAGGUCUAAUUGACAUGGCAGUUGAAAUGUUAGGAUUGAAGUACCAAAUUAUGACUGUUCAUGCUGAGGCUACAAAAUGAAACACA
Molecule: long non-coding RNA, 1409 nt
Organism: Brachypodium distachyon (stiff brome)
Lineage: Eukaryota; Viridiplantae; Streptophyta; Magnoliopsida; Poales; Poaceae
Exons: 2
Source: RefSeq, a predicted model, not a curated record